This 253-nucleotide ribosomal RNA is filed under the name uncultured bacterium. RNAcentral's name for it is "partial 16S ribosomal RNA". It matches the Rfam family "Bacterial small subunit ribosomal RNA", at positions 524 to 776 of the family's 1533-position model. The record is from RNAcentral.
UACAGAGGGUGCGAGCGUUAAUCGGAUUUACUGGGCGUAAAGGGUGCGUAGGUGGUCACGAAAGUCGGAUGUGAAAGCCCUGGGCUCAACCUGGGAAUGCCAUUCGAUACUCCGCGACUAGAAUUCGGUAGAGGGAGGCGGAACUCCAGGUGUAGCGGUGAAAUGCGUAGAUAUGUGGAGGAACACCAGUGGCGAAGGCGACUCUCUGGCCUGUAACUGACGCUGAGGCGCGAAAGCGUGGGGAGCAAACAGG